ACAUGCCUAUAGCAUAGCGUUAAUGCAUCGGAUCCCAUUAGAACUCCGCAGUUAAGCGCGCUCAGGCUAGAGUAGUACUGGAAUGGGUGACUGCCCGAGAAUUCUUAGUGUUUUACAUGCC
Non-coding RNA from Picea glauca (white spruce), 121 nucleotides. Lineage: Eukaryota; Viridiplantae; Streptophyta; Pinopsida; Pinales; Pinaceae. The record is from Rfam.